GAUGAACGCUGGCGGCGUGCCUAAUACAUGCAAGUCGAGCGAACGGACGAGAAGCUUGCUUCUCUGAUGUUAGCGGCGGACGGGUGAGUAACACGUGGAUAACCUACCUAUAAGACUGGGAUAACUUCGGGAAACCGGAGCUAAUACCGGAUAAUAUUUUGAACCGCAUGGUUCAAAAGUGAAAGACGGUCUUGCUGUCACUUAUAGAUGGAUCCGCGCUGCAUUAGCUAGUUGGUAAGGUAACGGCUUACCAAGGCAACGAUGCAUAGCCGACCUGAGAGGGUGAUAGGCCACACUGGAACUGAGACACGGUCCAGACGCCUACGGGAGGCAGCAGUAGGGAAUCGUACGCAAUGGGCGAAAGCCUGACGGAGCAACGCCGCGUGAGUGAUGAAGGUCUUCGGAUCGUAAAACUCUGUUAUUAGGGAAGAACAGAUGUGUAAGUAACUGUGCACAGCUUGACGGUACCUAAUCAGAAAGCCACGGCUAACUACGUG
This 497-nucleotide ribosomal RNA is filed under the name uncultured bacterium. Its description in RNAcentral is "partial 16S ribosomal RNA". It matches the Rfam family "Bacterial small subunit ribosomal RNA", at positions 28 to 507 of the family's 1533-position model. The record is from RNAcentral.